Molecule: unclassified non-coding RNA, 2034 nt
Filed under: Leishmania donovani
Lineage: Eukaryota; Euglenozoa; Kinetoplastea; Trypanosomatida; Trypanosomatidae
Description: gene:LdHU3.35.5890(CDS-product:TAX-1)
Source: RNAcentral
CGCUUGCUAUGGGGAGGAAGAAUAUCACACAAGGCAGGAGAAGCCUUUAUUUUGUCCCCCUCGCUCUCUCUUUGCCAUUUUCCACCUACUUCAGCAGCCAAUGUCGUACUCCUCCACAGCAACGCCCGGCGGCACGGCGGCAACGGCAACAGCGGGUAGCACCAAAUGCGGCAAAAACAAGGCUGGCGGCUCGUUGGCCGCCGCUGCGUACGAAAAGAGUCAGUACGACAUCACCAACGUCACCUGGGGGACUCUAGAGUCUCGCUUUGACGAGCUCGUCGCGCUCAUGAACACCCCCAUCACUGGCGUCAACGCGCUCACGGUGCGCGCCACGAAUCGACAGCGGAUCGGCAGUGCGAUCGCGGCCCUCCUCGAUAAGGCUCAAGAGGAGUGUCGACAGCUUCUGCUGGAUGGGGACGCUGAGGCGGCCGAGAAGGCGGGUGUGCUCGUGUUGCGACUGCGGGAGAAGUUCUACAAGCCGAAUCACGUAGAGCUGAUACCGGCCUAUCUGCACCUUUCCCGCACAAAGCAGUUUCUGAAGCGAUAUGGAGAUGCAGAGGACAUGCUUUCGCUUGCGCAGUAUAUUAUGCUGAAGCAUCCCGACGAGGUCACGCUCACCAUGAAGGCCGACGUGCACCAAGCAUUCGGGCUCCUUUAUGCGGCGGACAGCAAGCUGGAGGCAGCGGUGCAGCAGCUCAGCCGAGCAACCUACUAUCUCUCUCUACUGCACGGGGCGCGGCACGUUCUCACUACAUUCAGCUACUUUGACCUCGGCAACGUGAUGGCCUCGAAGGCCAGCAUGGAGAGUGCAAUGGCGCUCUACGACGCUGUGAAGGAGAUUUGGUAUGCUCACUUGGUGAAAGCGUUGGCGGACGUUGUUGCGCGCCGCGAGGACAUGCAGGUGCAGCUGAAGUACAGCGAGAACACGCCGGCGCAGGAGCUGCGACAAGUUUGCUACGCCACAGCGCACGCUUUCGGUCGCGAGAACUUGGCGGAUGCAUCCAAGAUGUUGCAUGGCAUCGCCCGCAUUCAGCAAAAGCGCUUCCAGAGCGCCCACCCCAGCACCGUGCGGGCAGAGUUCAUUCUGGGGCUUUUUCUUCUCUGGACAGACAAUGAGCCGGAGGCACAGGGGCACCUGGCGAAUGCCCGUGUCGCCUCGCAGCACUUCUAUGGCCCACGUCAUCCAGUUGUGCAAGAGAUCGAAGACUGGUGUGCGAAAUUCGACCUGAGCUACGAGAAUACGGAAGACGAGCUUGCCAAAGGUCAAGAGGCGUCCGCUCUGGACACAGCGGCGACAACGCACGACGACGAAGCUGAAGCGCCACAUAUAUUGUGAAGCACUGCAGCGAAAAGCCGUCUCUGAGACCGUACCUGCUUUCUUUUUACUGGUAUGUGUCGUAGGUGCUGCUGGUCCUUCGCCCCCACCCCUGUGCUGGUGUGCAGCUCUGCGACACCCGUACGUCAUCGCUCAGCUUACCGCCGCCCAGCGCUUCACAGCAACUUCCACCAUGCACUUCUGCUGCCGAUCCUUGCAUCCUCCGCCCAAGAGAUUGCUUGCUCUCUUGUGGCGUGUAUGUGUGUGCGUAUGUGUGCUGGCGUUAGGAAGGCUCUGUUUUCCCUGUUUUUCUCCCUUCGAUGUGACAUACUCGCAUAAGAGCGACUCGCUUAUCACGGAAUCGCCACCGUUGCUGCCGCCAUUGCGGCCUUUCUUCAGAGCGUUUUCUCGGCGAGGCGACGCCCUAUGCAUACAGGCAGAGCAAUAAAAAAAACGCAAGCGCGGAAGCCUGCUGCUUAGCGAGGGGUGAUUAAACGGUAACAACGCCUUGGGAUGCCUGUUGAAGCCAGAAACCACGUGAAACGGUGAGAUGGCGGUAUUGAGGUGGACCAGAGACAGAGAGAGAAGAUGCGGCCAAGGUAUGGCAAACACCACGACGGCCGACUGCGUUGCACUAUUGGGCUUUACCACGGUCACCUUUCCUUUGUUGCCUUUGGUGCACAGCUCCGACUCGCUUUCCCUUUCGAGCCCCUUCACAU